CCUACGGGUGGCUGCAGUGGGGAAUAUUGGACAAUGGGGGGAACCCUGAUCCAGCCAUGCCGCGUGUGUGAAGAAGGCCCUCGGGUUGUAAAGCACUUUCAGUGAGGAAGAACGCCUGGUGGUUAAUACCCAUCAGGAAAGACAUCACUCACAGAAGAAGCACCGGCUAACUCCGUGCCAGCAGCCGCGGUAAUACGGAGGGUGCGAGCGUUAAUCGGAAUUACUGGGCGUAAAGCGCGCGUAGGUGGCUUGAUAAGCCGGUUGUGAAAGCCCCGGGCUCAACCUGGGAACGGCAUCCGGAACUGUCAAGCUAGAGUGCAGGAGAGGAAGGUAGAAUUCCCGGUGUAGCGGUGAAAUGCGUAGAGAUCGGGAGGAAUACCAGUGGCGAAGGCGGCCUUCUGGACUGACACUGACACUGAGGUGCGAAAGCGUGGGUAGCAAAUAGGAUUAGAUACCCUGGUAGUC
RNAcentral lists this ribosomal RNA (465 nucleotides) under Vreelandella stevensii. RNAcentral's name for it is "partial 16S ribosomal RNA". It matches the Rfam family "Bacterial small subunit ribosomal RNA", at positions 338 to 795 of the family's 1533-position model. Lineage: Bacteria; Pseudomonadati; Pseudomonadota; Gammaproteobacteria; Oceanospirillales; Halomonadaceae. The record is from RNAcentral.